Dipodomys ordii (Ord's kangaroo rat) is the source of this 65-nucleotide non-coding RNA. The record is from Rfam. NCBI's taxonomy places the organism in Eukaryota, Metazoa, Chordata, Mammalia, Rodentia, Heteromyidae.
GGUGGCUCAAUGGUAGAGCACUUGCCUCACAUGCAUGAGGCCCUGGGUUCGAUUCCUCAGCACCA